AUCAUAUCAAUCUCAAUCUGAAUCGAACUGAAUCUAAUUCAAUUAGACUUGUUCCAAAGCUCUUUACUCAAUCAAAUUGAGUUAAUUAGUAAUAUAAUUACGAGUUAAUUCUUCAUAAAUGAUAGAGUUUCAGUUCCAAUGGGACUCUGCCACAGAGUCCUGAUCCAAGUAUAACUCAUCACCAGAGUCACAAUCUAAUUGGACUCUUCAGCCAUUAGAUGUGAUCAAAUCUUCUAAUGUGUGUGACCCCAUAGGUUCGAAUCUAAGCCAGUAGUAUAGAAACAACUUCUUAUACCAAUUGAUGUAACCAUCUAGUAAUGAUGACCCGACGAUCGGAUAGGUCAAAAUGUUGCAAGACAACCUUCUAGAACCUACUGGCGUAUGGUUAUCGUAUAAUUCAUCUCUUUGACUCAAAUGCUCAAGGUGAUGUAGGGUUUAACCGUCAACCCUAAUUAAGUCAACCAUAUUAUAUUUCAACCUUUCAAAUCCAUCUUAUGAAUUAUCUCGAUCAAGAUUUUGCUAAAUUGAAAUACGCUGAUGCAUAUCUCCUACCAAUUCAGAGGGGUCAAUUCCAUCUUGACUCACACACUAACUUGAUAAGUACUAGACUGCAUCCAGUAUCCUUCCGUCACUAAGUUAAAAACUCAGAUGGUCCGGUACUAAAGUAUAAUGAGUUGCUUACAAGUCACCAUGGUGGUCUCA
This 702-nucleotide long non-coding RNA is filed under the name Elaeis guineensis (African oil palm). Its description in RNAcentral is "long non-coding RNA (EGUI_LNC073056)". The record is from RNAcentral. Lineage: Eukaryota; Viridiplantae; Streptophyta; Magnoliopsida; Arecales; Arecaceae.